RNAcentral lists this ribosomal RNA (407 nucleotides) under uncultured bacterium. RNAcentral's name for it is "partial 16S ribosomal RNA". It matches the Rfam family "Bacterial small subunit ribosomal RNA", at positions 30 to 526 of the family's 1533-position model. The record is from RNAcentral.
AUUGAACGCUGGCGGCAGGCCUAACACAUGCAAGUCGAGCGGAGCGACGGACGGGUGAGUAAUUCCUACGAGUCUGCCUGGUAGUUGGGGAUAGCGUACGGACAGGAGCGCUAAUCCCGCCCACUAUCCGCUGUGCCUCGGUCGUAGUAGCUAGUUGGUGAGGUAAAGGCCUACCAAGGCGACGAUCCGUAACUGGCCUGAGAGGAUGAUCAGUCAAACUGGAACUGAGACACGGUCCAGACUCCUACGGGAGGCAGCAGUGGGGAAUAUUGGACAAUGGGCGAAAGCCUGAUCCAGCCAUGCCGCGUGUGUGAAGAAGGUCUUCGGAUUGUAAAGCACUUUAAGUUGGGAGGCGUUACCAACAGAAUAAGCACCGGCUAACUUCGUGCCAGCAGCCGCGGUAAUAC